Molecule: long non-coding RNA, 1281 nt
Filed under: Fragaria vesca (wild strawberry)
Lineage: Eukaryota; Viridiplantae; Streptophyta; Magnoliopsida; Rosales; Rosaceae
Description: long non-coding RNA (FVES_LNC002169)
Source: RNAcentral
ACUGCUAUUGUUUCCAACUAAGAAAGAAAUCUGUUCUUGAAAUACAGACUCAGGAAACCAGGCAACAGUUGAUGCACCAUUCUAACUUAAGAAAGAUUAGAGCUAGCUGGCCCGGCACCAAAGCCACCAGCACCACGACCAAAGGCAGGUCUUGUGGGAGCACCCUGCACAAUACCAAAAAAAAAAACAAGGUGAGCAAAAUUGAGUAGCAUAUAUAACUGACAUGACAAAAAGGAGACCAAUAUGAACACUUCACAAUGACAACUAGGCAGGAGAUGAAAUUUUGGGUUUGCAACACCUACUGGACAUUCAUAUAUCCAAAAAUAACUAAUCAAUUGUCCAAACCCAAUUAUAUCAUGACUUAUCAGUCAUGCAAUACUAGUAGAAUAGUUUGUAACAUGCAGAUAUUCAUUUUAUUGUGAAAUUUCCAAUAUUUUCCAAUUCUAUAGAUUGGGUUCUCUUCUCCGACAUUCAUCCCACACUUCUGUGUGGAUGAGAGCAUACAACACAAAUGACGUAAACAUAUAUACUGACUGGUAAGAAAAAGCAUGAUUUAAACAACACAAAAUUUACCCCGAAAGAUGGUCUGUAAUCAGCAGGGGCUCCUCCCUUGUCACCGCCAAAGUCACCUCCUGGUCCACCACGAGGACCUCCACGGUAACCAUCACGGUCACCUCCAAAUCUACGCUCUCCAUCACCAAAGCGGGGUGGGCCACUAAUGCACGACGAAAACAAACACAAAAAUACAUUCCAGUCAAUCAACAUUCAACAAAAAAACCAUAAACCAAAAGAACAAAAUCAUUGCAAAACCUACCAAGAGAGCUAACAAGCAUGUCAAAUAUCAAAAUCACUGCACACACUCAACGAUUUCACUACUUAGACAGUAUCAAUGUAUCUUACAUAUUAAUUGAAUUACCAGAGGACCUACAGAACUACCAAUUCGCGAAUAUCAUUGUGUUCUUCUACAUUGUAGUUAAACGCAAUCCACAAAACCACAUCAUAGUACAAUAAACGUUCAAAUUCAAACAAGAGUGGUGAAUUACCGAGGACGGUCGCCUUGUGGGCCACCGAAAGGACGGCCAGCAGGCUUAGGCUGCUUCUUGAGAGUGUUGGGCACAAUCUCGGAAGGCAGGUUGAGGUAGUUCCUCAAGAACUCAAUCCCAUCGUUAGUGAGGUACCAGUAGUAGUACAUCCAAGCGAAAGUCUCCCUCACAUACUCCUUGGACUUGAAGCUCUGCAUCAGCUUAAUCACCUGGAGAUUCGGCACAUCAAUCUCCGGAU